UAGACAGGUAUCUGAUCUCUACUGUAGUAGGGUUGGAAGGUUAGACAGGUAUCUGAUCUCUACUGUAGUAGGGUUGGAAGGUUAGACAGGUGGUAUGUAUCUGAUCUCUACUGUAGUAGGGUUGGAAGGUUAGACAGGUAUCUGAUCUCUACUGUAGUAGGGAUGGAAGGUUAGACAGGUAUCUGAUCUCUACUGUAGUAGGGUUGGAAGGUUAGACAGGUAUCUGAUCUCUACUGUAGUAGGGUUGGAAGGUUAGACAGGUGGUAUGUAUCUGAUCUCUACUGUAGUAGGGUUGGAAGGUUAGACAGGUGGUAUGUAUCUGAUCUCUACUGUAGUAGGGUUGGAAGGUUAGACAGGUGGUAUGUAUCUGAUCUCUACUGUAGUAGGGUUGGAAGGUUAGACAGGUAUCUGAUCUCUACUGUAGUAGGGUUGGAAGGUUAGACAGGUGGUAUGUAUCUGAUCUCUACUGUAGUAGGGUUGGAAGGU
RNAcentral lists this long non-coding RNA (486 nucleotides) under Salmo salar (Atlantic salmon). RNAcentral describes it as "lncRNA (ENSSSAG00000116117.1)". The record is from RNAcentral. Lineage: Eukaryota; Metazoa; Chordata; Actinopteri; Salmoniformes; Salmonidae.